RNAcentral lists this ribosomal RNA (301 nucleotides) under uncultured bacterium. RNAcentral's name for it is "partial 16S ribosomal RNA". It matches the Rfam family "Bacterial small subunit ribosomal RNA", at positions 509 to 807 of the family's 1533-position model. The record is from RNAcentral.
CAGCAGCCGCGGUAAUACAGAGGUCUCAAGCGUUGUUCGGACUCAUUGGGCGUAAAGGGUGCGUAGGUGGCGGUGUAAGUCUAACGUGAAAUCUCGGGGCUCAACCUCGAAAUUGCGUCGGAUACUGCAUUGCUAGAGGAUUGUAGAGGAGAGUGGAAUUCAUGGUGUAGCAGUGAAAUGCGUAGAUAUCAUGAGGAAGACCAGUUGCGAAGGCGACUCUCUGGGCAAUUCCUGACACUGAGGCACGAAGGCUAGGAGAGCAAACGGGAUUAGAUACCCGUGUAGUCCCUGUCUCUUAUAC